This 1474-nucleotide unclassified non-coding RNA is filed under the name uncultured fungus. RNAcentral's name for it is "sequence contains 18S rRNA gene, ITS1, 5.8S rRNA gene, ITS2, 28S rRNA gene". The stretch from base 457 to 1474 matches the Rfam family "Eukaryotic large subunit ribosomal RNA", at positions 1 to 961 of the family's 3401-position model. The record is from RNAcentral. Lineage: Eukaryota; Fungi.
GGUUGGAUCAUUAUCAAAUGCUUGGGUUAACAGCCCAAUCGAUACCUGUGCACAAAACGUUUCUGGUAGACUUGUUUUACCAACUUAACCAUUACAAAUUAUCUGAAGUAAAUUAUAACAAAAACAACUUUUGACAACGGAUCUCUUGGCUCUCGCAACGAUGAAGAACGCAGCGAAAUGCGAUACGUAGUGUGAAUUGCAGAAUUCCGUGAAUCAUCAAAUCUUUGAACGCACAUUGCACUCUGCUUGUCAGAGUAUGCCUGUUUGAGAAUCUAUUCAAUCUCAACACAUUAGUGUUGGAAAUGAGCUAUCUUAAUAGUCGCUUUAAUCCCAUGGACCAACUCUUUUUUGAAAACUUGUUGACCAUCGUUUGAAUGGGGUAACCCUUUAACGAUUGUAAUGCGUGGAAUAAAAAAAGAUACUUGGCAUUAAAAGACGAUAUUUUGUCUGAACCCUUGGUCUCAAAUCAGGUAGGAGGACCCGCUGAACUUAAGCAUAUCAAUAAGCGGAGGAAAAGAAACUAACAAGGAUUCCCCUAGUAACGGCGAGUGAAGCGGGAAAAGCUCAAAUUUGAAAUCUCGUAGGUCACCUGCGCGAAUUGUAGUUUAGAGAAGCGAUUUCAAAGGCGGCCUGGGUACAAGUUCUUUGGAACAAGGCAUCAUAGAGGGUGAGAAUCCCGUCCAUGAUCCAGGUGCUGCUUUUAUGUGAGUCGUCUUCCAAGAGUCGGUUUGUUUGGGAAUGCAGACCAAAAUGGGUGGUAAAUACCAUCUAAAGCUAAAUAUUGGCGAGAGACCGAUAGCGAACAAGUACCGUGAGGGAAAGAUGAAAAGAACUUUGAAAAGAGAGUUAAACAGUACGUGAAAUUGUCAAAAGGGAAACGCUUGAAACCAGUAUUGAUUGCAGAAAUUCAAUUACUCUAACGAGUGGUGUACUUUUUUGUGAUCGAGUCAACAUCAGUUUGGUUUGGAGGAAAAAACCAUGGGAAGGUAUCCCUCGGGUGUUAUAGCCCAUGGUGCUACUCUGAACCGGACUGAGGAACGCAGUGUUUUUGGGGAACUGGUCGCCUUUUGAAGCGGCGCUACUGAAUGCAUGCAGACAGUGGUUGCCGUCAGGAAGUUCGGUCAUCUACUACACCAACGCUUUGGAUGUUGACGAAAUGGUUCUAAACGACCCGUCUUGAAACACGGACCAAGGAGUCUAACAUAUGCGCGAGUAUUUGGGUGGCAAACCCUUAUGCGGAAUGAAAGUGAAAAGGUGGGAUCCUCGGAGCACCAUCGACCGGGCUUUGGCUUUUGCCUUGGUCUGAGUAUGAGCGUACAUGUUGGGACCCGAAAGAUGGUGAACUAUGCCUGAAUAGGGUGAAGCCAGAGGAAACUCUGGUGGAGGCUCGUAGCGGUUCUGACGUGCAAAUCGAUCGUCAAAUUUGGGUAUAGGGGCGAAAGACUAAUCGAACCAUCUAGUAGCUGGUUCCCUC